Molecule: long non-coding RNA, 462 nt
Organism: Ixodes scapularis (black-legged tick)
Lineage: Eukaryota; Metazoa; Arthropoda; Arachnida; Ixodida; Ixodidae
Exons: 4
Source: RefSeq, a predicted model, not a curated record
UCCCUCGCACUCGCAGCGCGGGAAAACAUGCACGGUCCGUGGCGCGGUCAAGUCAAGGAUCUGAUGUUCAUUGCUGCCAGCACGGGGCCAUAAAUAAGUCGCUGACUUCAAAACACCGUGAAGAGGACGAAUGGCAAGAGUGGUGUUGUUGGCAGCAGCGUGCUGCCUGGCGACUGCGGCCUUCAUGCUGCUGAGCGUGCAGCCGUGCGCCAGGGCCGCCCUGAUCGUCCACAAGGCCAACUCGACCGCCUGCUACACCUGCGACCUGGACGUGGACUUCUCGGGCCGCAACUUCAUGUGCUGCCUCGUGCACAGCCGUUGCUGCGGACCCGAAAAGCUGGAAAGAAAAAGACGAUCAUGGCUAUGAAGAUGUUACUCCGAGAAUUCGACUCGAAUAAAGUUCGCGAUAUGUUCUGCACGAAAGCACACACUCAUUUGUAAUAAAGUUAUAUUAAUUGCCAA